AGAGAGAGACAUGCGCGCAUAUCAAUAAGCGGAGGAAAAGAAACUAACAAGGAUUCCCUUAGUAACGGCGAGUGAAGCGGGAAGAGCUCAAAUUUGAAAUCUUCAAGGUUUUACCUUGACGAAUUGUAGUUUAAAGAAGCGUUUUCUGCUGAAGUUUUGGUAAAAGUUCUUUGGAAUAGGACAUCAUAGAGGGUGAGAAUCCCGUAUUUGACCAUUAUUUUCAGCUUUAUGAUACACUUUCAAAGAGUCGGAUUGUUUGGGAAUGCAGUCCAAAAUGGGUGGUAAAUUUCAUCUAAAGCUAAAUAUUGGCGAGAGGACCGAUAGCGAACAAGUACCGUGAGGGAAAGAUGAAAAGAACUUUGAAAAGAGAGUUAAACAGUACGUGAAAUUGUCAAAAGGGAAGCGUUUGACACCAGUGUUGUUUUCUCGAAAAUCAAUUAAAAAUGGCUCGAUUUUGUAUUGCCGAGACCUUAAAAGCUCACUGUACAUUUUUCGUGUCUUUUUUAAUGCACUUUUCGUUUAACAAGUCAACAUCAGUUUCUUUUGUUGUAAAAGGGUCAUUGGAAGGUGGCUUUCUUUUCGGAGAAAGUGUUUAUAGCCUUUGGCCUCUGCAAUCGAAGAGACUGAGGUCUGCAGCGUAGACUCUUCGGGGUUAGAUACAUUUGUGCUAAGUUAUAGCUUUUUAUAGACAACUUGUUGACUAUAAUUAGUCUUGUAGCUUACUCGCUUAUGCUAUUUUACCUACGCUUAGGAUGUUGAGUCGUAGAGCACGCA
This 774-nucleotide ribosomal RNA is filed under the name uncultured Neocallimastigales. Its description in RNAcentral is "partial large subunit ribosomal RNA". It matches the Rfam family "Eukaryotic large subunit ribosomal RNA", at positions 23 to 633 of the family's 3401-position model. The record is from RNAcentral. Lineage: Eukaryota; Fungi; Neocallimastigomycota; Neocallimastigomycetes; Neocallimastigales.